AGCUGUGAGAAAAAAA
This 16-nucleotide small RNA is filed under the name Arabidopsis thaliana (thale cress). RNAcentral's name for it is "ATSL131230". The record is from RNAcentral. Lineage: Eukaryota; Viridiplantae; Streptophyta; Magnoliopsida; Brassicales; Brassicaceae.